CCUACGGGAGGCAGCAGUAGGGAAUCUUCCACAAUGGGCGAAAGCCUGAUGGAGCAACGCCGCGUGGGUGAAGAAGGUCUUCGGAUCGUAAAACCCUGUUGUUAGAGAAGAAAGUGCGUGAGAGUAACUGUUCACGUUUCGACGGUAUCUAACCAGAAAGCCACGGCUAACUACGUGCCAGCAGCCGCGGUAAUCCGUAGGUGGCAAGCGUUAUCCGGAUUUAUGGGGCGUAAAGGGAACGCAGGCGGUCUUUUAAGUCUGAUGUGAAAGCCGUCGGCUUAACCGGAGUAGGGCAUUGGAAACUGGGAGACUUGAGUGCAGAAGAGGAGAGUGGAACUCCAUGUGUAGCGGUGAAAUGCGUAGAUAUAUGGAAGAACACCAGUGGCGAAAGCGGCUCUCUGGUCUGUAACUGACGCUGAGGUUCGAAAGCGUGGGUAGCAAACAGGAUUAGAUACCCUUGUAGUC
RNAcentral lists this ribosomal RNA (465 nucleotides) under uncultured bacterium. RNAcentral describes it as "partial 16S ribosomal RNA". It matches the Rfam family "Bacterial small subunit ribosomal RNA", at positions 338 to 795 of the family's 1533-position model. The record is from RNAcentral.